RNAcentral lists this long non-coding RNA (235 nucleotides) under Durio zibethinus. Its description in RNAcentral is "long non-coding RNA (DZIB_LNC001384)". Lineage: Eukaryota; Viridiplantae; Streptophyta; Magnoliopsida; Malvales; Malvaceae. The record is from RNAcentral.
UCUUGCCUAUGUAACCAUUCAUGUCUCCUCUAAUAAAUAAUUUUUCUCUGUAUGGUAUGGCUUGCAUUGUCUUGUCUAAAUCUGCCCAAAAUUUUUACGUACUUUACUAAUCCAAACCUAUUAAAUCCCAACAACUAACAAUAAAAAGAAAAAAAAAAUAGCCAUUCUGGAAAAAAAAAUUACAAUUUUGACAUAUUAAAAACAAAUUCUAAUCAAUUGUUAUAGUCCCCCCUGA